RNAcentral lists this transfer RNA (73 nucleotides) under Companilactobacillus alimentarius. RNAcentral's name for it is "tRNA-Val". It matches the Rfam family "tRNA". From Rfam's summary of the family: Transfer RNA (tRNA) molecules are approximately 80 nucleotides in length. Their secondary structure includes four short double-helical elements and three loops (D, anti-codon, and T loops). Lineage: Bacteria; Bacillati; Bacillota; Bacilli; Lactobacillales; Lactobacillaceae. RNAcentral also lists the same sequence under 1 other name. The record is from RNAcentral.
GGAGGAUUAGCUCAGCUGGGAGAGCAUCUGCCUUACAAGCAGGAGGUCACAGGUUCGAUUCCUGUAUCCUCCA